This 600-nucleotide ribosomal RNA is filed under the name uncultured bacterium. RNAcentral describes it as "bacterial SSU rRNA". It matches the Rfam family "Bacterial small subunit ribosomal RNA", at positions 732 to 1336 of the family's 1533-position model. The record is from RNAcentral.
GGCCUUUACUGACGCUAAAGCUCGAAGGUGCGGGUAUCGAACAGGAUUAGAUACCCUGGUAGUCCGCACGGUAAACGAUGGAUGCCCGCUGUUUGCGAUAUACUGUGAGCGGCCAAGAGAAAUCGUUAAGCAUCCCACCUGGGGAGUACGCCGGCAACGGUGAAACUCAAAGGAAUUGACGGGGGCCCGCACAAGCGGAGGAACAUGUGGUUUAAUUCGAUGAUACGCGAGGAACCUUACCCGGGCUUGAACUGCAGGAGAACGAUACAGAGAUGUUGAGGUCCUUCGGGACUCCUGUGGAGGUGCUGCAUGGUUGUCGUCAGCUCGUGCCGUGAGGUGUCGGCUUAAGUGCCAUAACGAGCGCAACCCUUUUCGUCAGUUGCCAUCAGGUGAAGCUGGGCACUCUGGCGAUACUGCCACCGUAAGGUGUGAGGAAGGUGGGGAUGACGUCAAAUCAGCACGGCCCUUACGUCCGGGGCUACACACGUGUUACAAUGGGGAGUACAGAGAGUCAACCGCCGGCAACGUCGGUUUAAUCAAGAAAGCUCUCCUCAGUUCGGAUUGGGGUCUGCAACCCGACCCCAUGAAGCUGGAUUCGCU